Long non-coding RNA from Oryzias melastigma (Indian medaka), 461 nucleotides. RefSeq lists it as uncharacterized. The transcript has 3 exons. Lineage: Eukaryota; Metazoa; Chordata; Actinopteri; Beloniformes; Adrianichthyidae. The record is from RefSeq and is a predicted model, not a curated record.
CUCUCUCAGAGGAGGCUGCAGUCUUCCCAGCAAGUUCUGCAGAGCGCCCCCUCCAACACCACUGUUCCAGGACAAGUCAAGGAUCUCCAGCAGAGGAGUGCAGCCGAGACCUUCACCUGCACAGGUACACAGCACAGCCUCACCCAGAGCGGCUACAUCCUCCCCGUCCAGCCUGCAGCCGCAGAGCCUCAGCGUCCUGACCCCGCUCACCAGCUGGAAGUGUGAGUCCGGCUCAUCCUCAGGGGUCCCGGUCCCGGUCCGCUCCGAGGUCCAGGACAAGAAGCGGCCCAGUGGCUUCCUGUCUGAGCGCUUCCUGCGGAUCUGACUCAUGAGGACAUCGAGGGGGGAGCGCCUCUGACCAGCUCCAUCUCUCCCCUGUGGAGAAUCUGACCAAACAGAGAUUUCUUUAAAACUGUGAUGUCAGAAGAGAUUUUACUGAUAAAAUAUAGUUUAUGGCUCAA